Rhincodon typus (whale shark) is the source of this 106-nucleotide small nuclear RNA. NCBI's taxonomy places the organism in Eukaryota, Metazoa, Chordata, Chondrichthyes, Orectolobiformes, Rhincodontidae. The record is from RefSeq and is a predicted model, not a curated record.
GUGGUUGCUUUGACAGCACACACACUAAAACUGGAAUGAUACAUAGAGGAUGAGCAUGGCCCCGUGCAAGGGUGACACACAGAUUUACGAAACAUUAUAACAUUUA